AGCGAACGCUGGCGGCAGGCCUAAUACAUGCAAGUCGAACGCACCUUCGGGUGAGUGGCGGACGGGUGAGUAACGCGUGGGAACGUGCCCUUUGGUUCGGAACAACACAGGGAAACUUGUGCUAAUACCGAAUGUGCCCUUCGGGGGAAAGAUUUAUCGCCAUUGGAGCGGCCCGCGUUGGAUUAGCUUGUUGGUGGGGUAAAAGCCCACCAAGGCGACGAUCCAUAGCUGGUCUGAGAGGAUGAUCAGCCACACUGGGACUGAGACACGGCCCAGACUCCUACGGGAGGCAGCAGUAGGGAAUCUUGCGCAAUGGGCGAAAGCCUGACGCAGCCAUGCCGCGUGAAUGAUGAAGGUCUUAGGAUUGUAAAAUUCUUUCACCGGGGAAGAUAAUGACGGUACCCGGAGAAGAAGCCCCGGCUAACUUCGUGC
Molecule: ribosomal RNA, 432 nt
Filed under: uncultured bacterium
Lineage: Bacteria
Description: bacterial SSU rRNA
Rfam family: Bacterial small subunit ribosomal RNA
Source: RNAcentral